This 26-nucleotide non-coding RNA is filed under the name Trypanosoma brucei brucei. The record is from RNAcentral. Lineage: Eukaryota; Euglenozoa; Kinetoplastea; Trypanosomatida; Trypanosomatidae.
CAUACGAGACCACAAUUACCCAGUUA